Molecule: long non-coding RNA, 1177 nt
Organism: Hippocampus zosterae (dwarf seahorse)
Lineage: Eukaryota; Metazoa; Chordata; Actinopteri; Syngnathiformes; Syngnathidae
Exons: 2
Source: RefSeq, a predicted model, not a curated record
AAUGAUCGCAGGGGUCAAGGUCAGGGGUGUGGUAGUGCGCUAGGGGGAGGUUUCGUCUGUGUGCGUGUGUUUGCAUCCCCCCUUCCCCUCCCCCCUCAGCUGGCCGACUGUGUAAGCUGUCUCGGUGUUUGCUUAUUUUAUAAGCUGCUUCUUAUUGCUUUGCUCCAUGGACAACUUGGUGCAAAAAGGGAUAGGGGGGGGAUUCGGGUGGGUGUGGGGGGUGUAGUUGUGGUUGGGUCGGGGGAUUCAUCACCACCCACCUUCUGGCCCGUCUCCAGAAGUCCAAAUCAAGCCAGGAAUCAGUCCUGCAUCUCUGUAGCCCCCCCCCCCCCCCCCCCCGGUCAAAUAAGCGCCCCCUUUGCAGCACCAUGGAGUGAAACCCGGUCAGACACUUUGACAGCCCCCCCACCAACCCCAGCAACACCCCCCUGGUUGUCUCAGUCUGCUGCCUCCUGUAAUUUAACAUGUCAGCUCAGGGUUCAUCUCAUGUGCACCCCAAAGUAGGUAGCCAGGCACCUCUUACACUUGCCGCAGCCGUGAACAUCGUAUACAGGACUGUAUAGGUGUCUUGAAAUACCACAGGGGGUUUUUUUCGAUUAUAUUUUGACACCCGUAAAGAACGGGUUUCCUCUAUUUGAUGUCAAGUCUCAAUUACCGGUAGUCUAUUUUGAAUGAAUAAACACAUGUGUCAUAAGAGAUACUGUAGCUUCCUUUUAGCAGCAGUUUAAAAAGAAUAAAGGGAGUAACUAUCAACAUGUCAGUUGAGAUGAGUGGGAAAAAGUGCUCACACAGCUACUUGUGUCAAGAAAGAAAAAAGACUGGUAAAAACAGAACGACUGAUUCAACUUCAUUUACUUGAAUAAAAGUAAAAAGAAAAAAAGAGUACAGACUCCAUACCGGUGUAUAAGUACAAACAGUAAAAAUCAACACUGCUUAUCCUCUAUGGGUCAACUUGGCACAAUGAAAAAAAAUGAAAUCUACACACAAGAUAGUACAAAUACAUCCAAUCAAUCAUAUUGAGAGCUGUAGAAUUUACCUCUUGAAAGUAUAGUCUGCUUUGGUAAGUUGAAAAAUUACUCUGGUGGCUAAAUUUAGAUGAUAGGACCUCCAGAGGUUCCUACUUCUGAGCUAAGAUUCCUGCAGUUGAAAUGUGCUAGUUUUUAAUUUAUUAGGGGGG